UUGAUGUUUACGCAGAUUCAGCAGCUGCGUCGUUCUGAACAUUGUGUAGAGUUUAAUUUCCGAGUACACUUUUGUGCAUUCCCUAGAAAGCCCAUAAUUUAUUACUUUUCUUUUUUCUUUCUACUACAUGUAUUUUUACUGCUGCUUGUAAACAAAAGCGCAGCUACAACCUCACACAAUGUUCUGAUAUCGGAACCCUUGAGACGCGUGCAUGUAUAAAUAAAUAAAUAAAUAAAUAAAUAAAUAAACAAAUAAAUAAAUAAAUAAAUAAAUAAAAGAUAAGUCUCUAAAGAAAUAAAACCGUUCCCAACUGCACGCGCAAACGGCUAUAAUGUUUUCGGUCAGAUGUGUUCAACUCGGGUCGGCGCGCGAUUUUGCGCAGUCUGCUCCAAACUCUGGCCCAUUUCGAGCGACAGAAACGAAGACGCACAUUACGAAUAAAGAUUGUCGCCGUCGCGUCAUAAUCGUCAAGCCACCUUCUCCACAGCGUCAUCGUCAUCACACGACGAAGAAAGAGAAAGCUUUGCCCACCACUGCCAUUCGAGAUUGAACGCAUGCCUUUUGGCCAACGUGCAAUUGCAGCGGGGACUGCGCCCGUAGUCCGGAGGCCACAUCUGGCAGCACUGCAGCGGUCGAAGACGCCAUUGCGCGCAGCGCAGAGAAGUUGCUCGUGAGAAGAAGGCUUCUGUGGUGAGGGCCUGCUGUACGGUGAAGUGUAGAGGUUGCCGACGAAUCGUCGACGAAGAAGAAGAUCGGCGGUGCGCCGAACAGGUCGAUUUCUGUGACGGAAGCUUGAGUCGGCGACGACCCGCGGGAGAGGGCCCUGGUACGGCCAAGGACAACCGAGCUAAAGAAACAAGUGGACGUGCCCCGAGAACAGCUGUGAAGGGUACGCGCAGCGCAAAGAAGACGUCCACCUCGAGAUGCAUUGCCGAGCCAUCCGGUGUUCCUGGAGGGAUCGAGGGUAUCACUCCUGGAACAGCGGCGACGGGAUGGUGCACUGGUGCCCGCCGCCAAGGCACGCCAGUCAGCCAGCGGAUGCCCAGGACAGUGCCGCGGACUUCGGGGGGGCUACGGGGGUCACCUCGAACACGGCGACCGGCGCUGGAGCAACGCAUCACGAACGCACGUCGACGGGCCCGAACGCGGGCGGCUCCAGGGGCAGGAAACGUUGCAGCUGCGGCAGUUCGGCGCCGUGCAACUUAGGUCACCGUGCUCCCGACACGAAAGACGGUGCAAGCUCCUCAAAGACACCCGCGCCUCGGAUCACGGAGACCUCGCCAGCGGAAGGCCCAUCAGGGGCUUUGGGCCCAUCCUUCGUGCUCCCGCCGAUGAUGCCCUCGCCCGAGGGUUGGUACGGCGGAGAGAACGGGGAGGGAGGGUACGCCCGUUUCCUCACCGACUGGAUGAUGCGCGACGCCCAGAGGCACUGUGAACUGGAGUCGCGCCAUAGGCGCCAUCAUUCCGGCGACGCCGACUGUUCCAUGAGCGACGUCGAUUAGGCGGGUUGUGGCCGUUGCAGAAGCCGGCUGGCAAGACGCCCGCCACGUGUACGAUUAUCGAAUAGCGUUUUUAUGAAAAUAAACAACAUCAUACUUAUAUGU
Non-coding RNA from Dermacentor andersoni, 1604 nucleotides. NCBI's taxonomy places the organism in Eukaryota, Metazoa, Arthropoda, Arachnida, Ixodida, Ixodidae. The record is from RefSeq and is a predicted model, not a curated record.